AGUAACACGUAGGUAACCUGCCCAUGUGCCCGGGAUAACUUCUGGAAACGGAUGCUAAAACCGGAUAGGUAGCAGACAAGCAUUGACUGCUAGUUAAAGUGGCUAAGGCCAUGAACAUGGAUGGACCUGCGGUGCAUUAGCUAGUUGGUGAGGUAACGGCCCACCAAGGCGACGAUGCAUAGCCGGCCUGAGAGGGCGGACGGCCACAUUGGGACUGAGACACGGCCCAAACUCCUACGGGAGGCAGCAUG
This 251-nucleotide ribosomal RNA is filed under the name uncultured bacterium. RNAcentral's name for it is "partial 16S ribosomal RNA". It matches the Rfam family "Bacterial small subunit ribosomal RNA", at positions 109 to 353 of the family's 1533-position model. The record is from RNAcentral.